UUUAUUUUAUUGACUUUUUGAAUUGUAUAUAAAGAACUUCGAAGUUUAGCAAAACACUUCUUUAUAGUAGUUACAGGAGUUUCAUAGUUUGCGAAACAAAAAUGUCUAAAUUGUUUUUUGCCCUAAUUGUAGCUUUCGCUGGAAUAGCAGCUGCAGCUCCCGCUGAUUCCACUGAAAAUGAUUUAAACGAAUUACGUAAGUAUAAUUUUUGGAGAGCUUUCUUAUUGUAAUUUUAUUGCAUAUUCUUAAUA
This is a non-coding RNA of Parasteatoda tepidariorum (common house spider), 251 nucleotides long. Lineage: Eukaryota; Metazoa; Arthropoda; Arachnida; Araneae; Theridiidae. The record is from RefSeq and is a predicted model, not a curated record.